CCACGGGAGGCUGCAGUGGGGAAUAUUGGACAAUGGGGGGAACCCUGAUCCAGCCAUGCCGCGUGUGUGAAGAAGGCCCUCGGGUUGUAAAGCACUUUCAGUGAGGAAGAACGCCUGGUGGUUAAUACCCAUCAGGAAAGACAUCACUCACAGAAGAAGCACCGGCUAACUCCGUGCCAGUAGCCGCGGUAAUACGGAGGGUGCGAGCGUUAAUCGGAAUUACUGGGCGUAAAGCGCGCGUAGGUGGCUUGAUAAGCCGGUUGUGAAAGCCCCGGGCUCAACCUGGGAACGGCAUCCGGAACUGUCAAGCUAGAGUGCAGGAGAGGAAGGUAGAAUUCCCGGUGUAGCGGUGAAAUGCGUAGAGAUCGGGAGGAAUACCAGUGGCGAAGGCGGCCUUCUGGACUGACACUGACACUGAGGUGCGAAAGCGUGGGUAGCAAACAGGAUUAGAUACCCCAGUAGUC
Molecule: ribosomal RNA, 464 nt
Filed under: Vreelandella stevensii
Lineage: Bacteria; Pseudomonadati; Pseudomonadota; Gammaproteobacteria; Oceanospirillales; Halomonadaceae
Description: partial 16S ribosomal RNA
Rfam family: Bacterial small subunit ribosomal RNA
Source: RNAcentral